This 293-nucleotide ribosomal RNA is filed under the name uncultured Acidimicrobiales bacterium. Its description in RNAcentral is "partial 16S ribosomal RNA". It matches the Rfam family "Bacterial small subunit ribosomal RNA", at positions 505 to 796 of the family's 1533-position model. The record is from RNAcentral. Lineage: Bacteria; Bacillati; Actinomycetota; Acidimicrobiia; Acidimicrobiales.
GUGUCAGCCGCCGCGGUAAUACGUAGGGGGCAAGCGUUGUCCGGAUUCAUUGGGCGUAAAGAGCUCGUAGGCGGCUUGGCAAGUCGGGUGUGAAAUCUCCAGGCUCAACCUGGAGUCGCCACUCGAUACUGCCAUGGCUAGAGUCUGGUAGGGGACCAUGGAAUCCCUGGUGUAGCGGUGAAAUGCGCAGAUAUCAGGAGGAACACCAGUGGCGAAGGCGGUGGUCUGGGCCGGAACUGACGCUGAGGAGCGAAAGCGUGGGGAGCGAACAGGAUUAGAUACCCGCGUAGUCC